This 340-nucleotide long non-coding RNA is filed under the name Oreochromis niloticus (Nile tilapia). RNAcentral describes it as "lncRNA (ENSONIG00000035162.1)". The record is from RNAcentral. Lineage: Eukaryota; Metazoa; Chordata; Actinopteri; Cichliformes; Cichlidae.
CCACCUACAUCCACACCUCCUCCUGGUUCCACCUCCAUCACUCUCUCCUCCUGUUCUCUCUGUGUUGUCAUGUGUUGGAUCCGUCUGUGUUGUGGUUCUACUGGUGUUACUGGUUCUGCUGGUGAGACAGUGUGUUCACAGAAAACCUGAAGACAUUGAUACAGCUGUGGUGUACUCAGCAGUGAGAACUGAAGAUGUCACUUAUGAACAAAUAGCCAUCAAACCAAAGAAGAUCAGAGGUACAGCUGAUUGUCUUUAGGUCUGAACAGAGUAAAAACCAAAAGAGUAAAUGUCCUCACGUUUCCAUUCUAACUUAGCUAACCCUGAAAUUAUAUCAUCA